GACGGUGGGCGGAGCUUCACCCCACAGGGAACGCCCGUGUUGAAAGAGACCUGACAGCUCGGCAAGAUUAAUAGUGAACACGUUAAAUAUUUGUCCUUGGUGUGGCUCUCGACCGCGACUGUUUUAUUUAUUCGUUAUUCCGCUAAUGCCGUUCGCCGUACGUUCACAGCACUUUGUUCCUUGACCCCUCUCAUCCCCUUCGUUAUAAUGCGGUCGUGUCCCCUGUGAAACUACGGACCCCCCGUUCCUCACGUGUCCCCCUCCGACUGGGACCGGCGUACGCGUGUAGAAUUGAUGGCGAGCGCUCCUUAAAGACGGUCACAGCAGUGACCGCGAAAAGCAGGGGGCCGAGAGAAGGCGCCGGCUGUGUUUUUCCCUCUGGUCGAUAACGGAUGAAAACAGGGCUCCAUCUAUUUCGAAAAAAAAAAAAGGUUGAAAGGUGCGCUCCCAUUGCGUCGGGUACGAGCAGGAAUUCAUCAACCUGUCCCAACCCACAGACCGCUUUCACACACCAUUUCUGCAUUCGUGCCUUGGGAACCGCAGGCAGAGCCUCUCUACCCCGACCUGCCGGGAGUCCUGCUGCUGCACUUGGUCCCCUGAGGUCAGAGGUCAUCUUCAACCGUUCCGGACUCGUUCUGGAUCCACCUCCAUCAUCUCGCACACUCGAGUUUUUCUGACAGGUCGAGUGCUUCCGGUUUCGAUGUGUGCUCUAUGAUCCAUAUUUCAGACAGUUUCGGGAGUUUUCUUGUUCCUUUCUAUUUAACUUAUGUCUCUGUUCUAGGAAACUACCAACAAACUGUUCCUGAUAGUAUCACACUGAAUUUUGUAAUAAGUAUGUGAAAUGUAAUUUGACGCCGGUGACGCCACAUAGUGACUUUGUGUCAUUUAGUAUGACGGUCAUGUUGUGGAGCGACGGCCUCUUCUGCUACUGCGGCUCUCUGUUUCGGCACGUCUCCCAGGUAGAGCCUCAGCGCAUCAAUUAAACGGUCGAGGGGGGACUGAUGAUGAUCACAGGAAAGGGCCUCUCAGUCUCUCACCAUCGAGGAAGAUUAGAUCAGGGGUGAUGAGUGAACAUCAGAAGGAACCGGUACGGUCGGCUCAGGGUUUAUUGAUCCCCAUUUAACAGGAGCCUCUCUCUCUCUCUCUCUCUCUCUCUCUCUCUCUCUCUCUCUCUCUGUCUGUCUGUGACUGGUUUAUCAAACACAGUUUAAAAAAAAAAAAAAAAAAACCUUUUUUGAGGUUUAACGAGAGGAUCAGGAUGACAGAGAAAGGGCAACCGUCACCAUGGCCCACACGGUUUAAUGCUCGAUUGAAACCAGGCUCUUGGAACAGACCUGCGAAAGGUUCUUGUUUUAUUGACCAUAGUGACCAGUGUUGACUGGAAACCAGUUUAGCCGCCUGGUUGGAAUUCCAGCAGAUUUUAUUGUGCGUGCGUACGUGUGUGUGUGUGUGUGUGUGUGUGUGUGUGUGUGUGUGUGUGUGAUUUCCUUGUAAUGGAAUGGCAUCCUGUCCAGUGUGUACCCUGCCUCACCAGGAUAGGCUCUGCACCACCGUGACCCUGCACUGGACAAGUAGUUACGAUAAUGGAUGAAUGAAUGAAUAUAUUGCCCAUGGGAUUUGGGAUCAAGACCCAAACAGAUUGUACACUACACUGUCACAGAAAUAAAGCAGCAGAAAAUACACUGUUUUCA
Molecule: long non-coding RNA, 1691 nt
Organism: Scleropages formosus (Asian bonytongue)
Lineage: Eukaryota; Metazoa; Chordata; Actinopteri; Osteoglossiformes; Osteoglossidae
Source: Ensembl